AACGAACGCUGGCGGCAGGCCUAACACAUGCAAGUCGAGCGAGGACUUCGGUCCUAGCGGCGGACGGGUGAGUAACGCGUGGGAACGUGCCCUUUGCUUCGGAAUAGCCCUGGGAAACUGGGAGUAAUACCGGAUGAGCACUUUGGGGGAAAGAUUUAUCGGCGAAGGAUCGGCCCGCGUUGGAUUAGGUAGUUGGUGGGGUAAUGGCCUACCAAGCCGACGAUCCAUAGCUGGUUUGAGAGGAUGAUCAGCCACACUGGGACUGAGACACGGCCCAGACUCCUACGGGAGGCAGCAGUGGGGAAUCUUAGACAAUGGGGGAAACCCUGAUCUAGCCAUGCCGCGUGAGCGAUGAAGGCCUUAGGGUUGUAAAGCUCUUUCAGCUGGGAAGAUAAUGACGGUACCAGCAGAAGAAGCCCCGGCUAACUCCGUG
This 433-nucleotide ribosomal RNA is filed under the name uncultured bacterium. RNAcentral's name for it is "partial 16S ribosomal RNA". It matches the Rfam family "Bacterial small subunit ribosomal RNA", at positions 29 to 507 of the family's 1533-position model. The record is from RNAcentral.